This 259-nucleotide ribosomal RNA is filed under the name uncultured prokaryote. RNAcentral's name for it is "partial 16S ribosomal RNA". It matches the Rfam family "Bacterial small subunit ribosomal RNA", at positions 526 to 784 of the family's 1533-position model. The record is from RNAcentral.
CGUAGGGGGCAAGCGUUAUCCGGAUUUACUGGGUGUAAAGGGAGCGCAGACGGAACUGCAAGUCUGAUGUGAAAGCCCGGGGCUCAACCGCGGGACUGCAUCGGAUACUGUGGAUCUGGAGUGCCGGAGGGGCAAGCGGAAUUCCUGGUGUAUCGGUGAAAUGCGUAGAUAUCAGGAGGAACACCGGCGGCGAAGGCGGCUUGCUGGACGGCAACUGACGUUGAGGCUCGAAAGCGUGGGGAGCAAACAGGAUUAGAUA